GUGGUCUCAGCGGUGUUCGUCAGAGUCCUGGUGCAGCAGAACCAGGAGAACCAGGAGCACAGGUGGCAAAAGAACUGGAAACCAGAACAGAUGUUUGUUGUAUUCGGAAAGGAAUGUGUCCUGGAGAGAGGAACAUGACAACGACGAGGUUUUCCUACCGUCCAUCUUGAGACGUCCUCAGUUUCCAAUGUUCGGAUGAGCAGGGACUGCCAGUACUCAUCAGGGACAAAACUGGUCUGAACCAGGACACAGUUAACCAGCCUGAACACCACAGUGAAGACAACCACCUU
Long non-coding RNA from Poecilia latipinna (sailfin molly), 290 nucleotides. RefSeq lists it as uncharacterized. The record is from RefSeq and is a predicted model, not a curated record. The transcript is spliced from 3 exons. NCBI's taxonomy places the organism in Eukaryota, Metazoa, Chordata, Actinopteri, Cyprinodontiformes, Poeciliidae.